ACACGCAUGACACACUGCAUAUCAAUAAGCGGAGGAAAAGAAACUAACAAGGAUUCCCUUAGUAACGGCGAGUGAGGCGGGAAGAGCUCAAAUUUGAAAUCUUCAAGGUUCUACCUUGACGAAUUGUAGUUUAUAGAAGUGUUUUCUGUUAGUAGAGUGGCAAAAGUUCUUUGGAAUAGGACAUCAUAGAGGGUGAGAAUCCCGUAUUUGGUCAUUCUUUCUAGCUUUGUGAUACACUUUCAACGAGUCGGAUUGUUUGGGAAUGCAGUCCAAAAUGGGUGGUAAAUUUCAUCUAAAGCUAAAUAUUGGCGAGAGACCGAUAGCGAACAAGUACCGUGAGGAAAGAUGAAAAGAACUUUGAAAAGAGAGUUAAACAGUACGUGAAAUUGUCAAAAGGGAAGCGUUUGACACCAGUGUUGUUUUUCCGAAAAUCAAUUACGAAUGUUUUGUUUUUAAGAAGUUAUGACUUCAUCGGCUUGCUUCUUUCUUUACGAAACUUUCUUAAUGCACUUUUCGGUUAACAAGUCAACAUCAAUUUCUUUUGUUGUAAAAGAGUAUUGGGAAGGUGGCUUUCUUUUCGGAGAAAGUGUUUAUAGCCCUUUACUUCUGCAAUCGGAGAGAUUGAGGUCUGCAGCGUAGAUCCUUCGGGGUUAGAUACAUUUGUGCUAAGUUAUAGCUUUUCAUAGACAACUUGUUGAUUAUGAUUAGUCUUGUAGCUUACUCGCUUAUGCUAUUUUACCUACGCUUAGGAUGUUGACGCAUGAGAUAUACGC
Molecule: ribosomal RNA, 773 nt
Filed under: uncultured Neocallimastigales
Lineage: Eukaryota; Fungi; Neocallimastigomycota; Neocallimastigomycetes; Neocallimastigales
Description: partial large subunit ribosomal RNA
Rfam family: Eukaryotic large subunit ribosomal RNA
Source: RNAcentral